Molecule: long non-coding RNA, 292 nt
Filed under: Elaeis guineensis (African oil palm)
Lineage: Eukaryota; Viridiplantae; Streptophyta; Magnoliopsida; Arecales; Arecaceae
Description: long non-coding RNA (EGUI_LNC061636)
Source: RNAcentral
UUAGUAAGCUAAUGAGACUUCACCUCCAAAGCAUGAGCUAUGGCUCUGGUACUAUAAAAUACAGCAGAACCAUCAUUGGAGGGUGCCACUCCUAGCUUGCCAAUGAACCUAUACAAUCACAUAGCUUCCUUGCAAGCAUCGAAUGCUACAAUACAUUCAGCCUCGCAAUCGAAUUAGCUAUAUUGCUCUGCUUGAAACUUUUUCAGCAGAUUACUCUAUUAUUUAGGUAAAGAUAUAUUCUGACAUGUUCUUGCUAGUAUUACAUUCAACUAAAAAUUUGAGUCAUACUCUA